RNAcentral lists this long non-coding RNA (262 nucleotides) under Panax ginseng (ginseng). RNAcentral describes it as "long non-coding RNA (PGIN_LNC011257)". The record is from RNAcentral. Lineage: Eukaryota; Viridiplantae; Streptophyta; Magnoliopsida; Apiales; Araliaceae.
AAAUUGAUGAGGUUGACUGCUCAGGAGGAGCUAAUUGCAGAAAUGGAAAAACUGGAGCUGGAAGUGAAGUAUCCUAUGGAGAUUGAUGAGAAAAUAUUGCAUAUGCAAUCUGGUACAACUCUACUAGAUAAAGUAAAGGAGGCUCAGCUUCAGGACAAAGAAUGUAAAAAGGUGACAAAGAAGAUAUCUGAAGGAACUGAACCGAGAUUUAAGAUGGAUAAGGAAGGUAUACUGAGAUUUGAAAGUAAAAUUUGGGUUCCAC